Molecule: ribosomal RNA, 465 nt
Filed under: uncultured bacterium
Lineage: Bacteria
Description: partial 16S ribosomal RNA
Rfam family: Bacterial small subunit ribosomal RNA
Source: RNAcentral
GAACGCUGGCGGCGUGCUUAACACAUGCAAGUCGAACGGAAAGGCCCUGCUUUUGUGGGGUGCUCGAGUGGCGAACGGGUGAGUAACACGUGAGUAACCUGCCCUUGACUUUGGGAUAACUUCAGGAAACUGGGGCUAAUACCGGAUAGUAGCUCCUGCUGCAUGGUGGGGGUUGGAAAGUUUCGGCGGUUGGGGAUGGACUCGCGGCUUAUCAGCUUGUUGGUGGGGUAGUGGCUUACCAAGGCUUUGACGGGUAGCCGGCCUGAGAGGGUGACCGGCCACAUUGGGACUGAGAUACGGCCCAGACUCCUACGGGAGGCAGCAGUGGGGAAUAUUGCACAAUGGGCGGAAGCCUGAUGCAGCAACGCCGCGUGCGGGAUGACGGCCUUCGGGUUGUAAACCGCUUUCGCCUGUGACGAAGCGUGAGUGACGGUAAUGGGUAAAGAAGCACCGGCUAACUACGUG